UUAGCAGAGAUGCUUUGGUGCCUUCGGGAACUCUGAGACAGGUGCUGCAUGGCUGUCGUCAGCUCGUGUUGUGAAAUGUUGGGUUAAGUCCCGCAACGAGCGCAACCCUUAUCCUUUGUUGCCAGCGAUUCGGUCGGGAACUCAAAGGAGACUGCCAGUGAUAAACUGGAGGAAGGUGGGGAUGACGUCAAGUCAUCAUGGCCCUUACGAGUAGGGCUACACACGUGCUACAAUGGCAUAUACAAAGAGAAGCGACC
RNAcentral lists this ribosomal RNA (257 nucleotides) under Klebsiella aerogenes. RNAcentral describes it as "partial 16S ribosomal RNA". It matches the Rfam family "Bacterial small subunit ribosomal RNA", at positions 997 to 1254 of the family's 1533-position model. The record is from RNAcentral. Lineage: Bacteria; Pseudomonadati; Pseudomonadota; Gammaproteobacteria; Enterobacterales; Enterobacteriaceae.